AGUGAACGCUGGCGGUAGGCCUAACACAUGCAAGUCGAACGGCAGCACAGUAAGAGCUUGCUCUUACGGGUGGUGAGUGGCGGACGGGUGAGGAAUACAUCGGAAUCUACUUUUUCGUGGGGGUUAACGUAGGGAAACUUACGCUAAUACCGCAUACGACCUACGGGUGAAAGCAGGGGAUCUUCGGACCUUGCGCGAUUGAAUGAGCCGAUGUCGGAUUAGCUAGUUGGCGGGGUAAAGGCCCACCAAGGCGACGAUCCGUAGCUGGUCUGAGAGGAUGAUCAGCGACACUGGAGCUGAGACACGGUCCAGAGUCCUACGGGAGGCAGCAGUGGGGAAUAUUGGACAAUGGGCGCAAGCCUGAUCCAGCCAUACCGCGUGGGUGAAGAAGGCCUUCGGGUUGUAAAGCCCUUUUGUUGGGAAAGAAAAGCAGCAGGUUAAUACCCCGCUGUUCUGACGGUACCCAAAGAAUAAGCACCGGCUAACUUCGUG
RNAcentral lists this ribosomal RNA (492 nucleotides) under uncultured bacterium. RNAcentral's name for it is "partial 16S ribosomal RNA". It matches the Rfam family "Bacterial small subunit ribosomal RNA", at positions 29 to 507 of the family's 1533-position model. The record is from RNAcentral.